RNAcentral lists this ribosomal RNA (253 nucleotides) under uncultured bacterium. RNAcentral describes it as "partial 16S ribosomal RNA". It matches the Rfam family "Bacterial small subunit ribosomal RNA", at positions 524 to 776 of the family's 1533-position model. The record is from RNAcentral.
UACGGAGGGGGCUAGCGUUGUUCGGAAUUACUGGGCGUAAAGCGCACGUAGGCGGCUUUGUAAGUUAGAGGUGAAAGCCCAGGGCUCAACCCUGGAAUUGCCUUUAAGACUGCAUCGCUUGAAUCACGGAGAGGUGAGUGGAAUUCCGAGUGUAGAGGUGAAAUUCGUAGAUAUUCGGAAGAACACCAGUGGCGAAGGCGACUCACUGGACAUGUAUUGACGCUGAGGUGCGAAAGCGUGGGGAGCAAACAGG